RNAcentral lists this transfer RNA (74 nucleotides) under Solirubrobacterales bacterium. Its description in RNAcentral is "tRNA-Ala". It matches the Rfam family "tRNA". Rfam says of the family: Transfer RNA (tRNA) molecules are approximately 80 nucleotides in length. Their secondary structure includes four short double-helical elements and three loops (D, anti-codon, and T loops). The record is from RNAcentral. Lineage: Bacteria; Bacillati; Actinomycetota; Thermoleophilia; Solirubrobacterales. RNAcentral also lists the same sequence under 1 other name.
GGGGCUGUAGUUCAGUUGGCUAGAACGUCUGGCUGGCAGUCAGAAGGUCGUCGGUUCGAAUCCGACCAGCUCCA